Molecule: long non-coding RNA, 194 nt
Organism: Poecilia latipinna (sailfin molly)
Lineage: Eukaryota; Metazoa; Chordata; Actinopteri; Cyprinodontiformes; Poeciliidae
Exons: 2
Source: RefSeq, a predicted model, not a curated record
GUCUUAUGCACAGCCCUUCAAAUAAAGUGUUAGCAAAUAAACUUCUGUAAGUUUUUAGAGCAUAAACCAGCAUAAUCUGCUGGAUGUUUUGUGUCAGUGUUUGUUAUAUUAGCCUGUAGCACAAAAUGUUUCAACAAAUGAGUCUCCAUAUAUUCUUAGUGAGAAAAUGGGACUCAGCAGAUUAGGUGCUAAAU